GGGUCGGUACCAAAGUAGUCAACUGGGGCAGACUGUAAAUCUGCUGGCGUUAGCCUUCGCAGGUGCAAAUCCUGCCCGGCCCACCA
This 86-nucleotide transfer RNA is filed under the name Candidatus Falkowiibacteriota bacterium. Its description in RNAcentral is "tRNA-Tyr". It matches the Rfam family "tRNA". Rfam says of the family: Transfer RNA (tRNA) molecules are approximately 80 nucleotides in length. Their secondary structure includes four short double-helical elements and three loops (D, anti-codon, and T loops). Further hydrogen bonds mediate the characteristic L-shaped molecular structure. tRNAs have two regions of fundamental functional importance: the anti-codon, which is responsible for specific mRNA codon recognition, and the 3' end, to which the tRNAs corresponding amino acid is attached (by aminoacyl-tRNA synthetases). tRNAs cope with the degeneracy of the genetic code in two manners: having more than one tRNA (with a specific anti-codon) for a particular amino acid; and 'wobble' base-pairing, i.e. permitting non-standard base-pairing at the 3rd anti-codon position. The record is from RNAcentral. Lineage: Bacteria; Candidatus Falkowiibacteriota.